UGGGGGAUAUUGCGCAAUGGGGGGAACCCUGACGCAGCAACGCCGCGUGAAGGAAGAAAUAUUUCGGUAUGUAAACUUCUAUCGACAGGGAAGAAAGAAAUGACGGUACCUGAGUAAGAAGCCCCGGCUAAUUACGUGCCAGCAGCCGCGGUAAUACGUAAGGGGCGAGCGUUAUCCGGAUUUACUGGGUGUAAAGGGUGAGUAGGCGGUUUUGCAAGUCAUAUGUGAAAGACUAAGGCUUAACCUUAGAGGUGCAUAAGAAACUGUAGAACUAGAGUGCAGGAGAGGCAAGCGGAAUUCCAAGUGUAGCGGUGAAAUGCGUAGAUAUUUGGAAGAACACCGGUGGCGAAGGCGGCUUGCUGGACUGAAACUGACGCUGAGUCACGAAAGCGUGGGGAGCGAACAGG
RNAcentral lists this ribosomal RNA (407 nucleotides) under uncultured bacterium. Its description in RNAcentral is "bacterial SSU rRNA". It matches the Rfam family "Bacterial small subunit ribosomal RNA", at positions 355 to 776 of the family's 1533-position model. The record is from RNAcentral.